UCUUUUAAAGUAAAUUUACAUUUAAUUUCGACUUAAAAAUUUAUUAUUUUAAUAUAAUAUAAAAGAU
This 67-nucleotide transfer RNA is filed under the name Formica glauca. Its description in RNAcentral is "tRNA-Arg". The record is from RNAcentral. Lineage: Eukaryota; Metazoa; Arthropoda; Insecta; Hymenoptera; Formicidae.